Molecule: long non-coding RNA, 1014 nt
Organism: Lucilia cuprina (Australian sheep blowfly)
Lineage: Eukaryota; Metazoa; Arthropoda; Insecta; Diptera; Calliphoridae
Exons: 3
Source: RefSeq, a predicted model, not a curated record
UAAUCUAAUUGGAAUCAAUCGCUGUCUGAGCUAAUGUUAAAAAUUCUUAUUCAUGUUGCCCAUAUUAAGGGGAAUUUCCUCUUCUAAUUUGUGGAUUAAAAGGAACCCCCAUCUGGGAACUUGGUAAUUAACAAAACUCUCUCUCACUAUCUCUGGAACACAGACAACUACUGGGGGAGCAAGUUUGAAUGAACGAAUGAAUAAAAUAAAUUAGAAAAAGAAUACGUAAAAUAAGAAAUAAAAGAGAAUAAGAUAGAGAGAGCAUGUCUACGUGUGUUUGUCUAUAAAGUUGGACUAAUAAAAGCUAAUAAGAAGAAAAAGGUUAAUAAAAUAAAUUUACCUGACAUGUUGCUGGUAUUGCUUUAUGUUGUUACUUCGUUUAGAUUCUAUACGUUUGAGAGAGUUUCUUUUUUUGUUUUGCUUUAUUAUUGUUGUACAGUUUAACAGCUUGGAACAGCAGUAGCCGUAGCAGCAGCAACAGCUGUAGGUACAACAACGAAGAAACAUAAAACUUGAUUUCAUGUUGGUCAGGUUGGUUGGUGUGACAGGCAUAGUUUGGUGGUGUGGUCUGGUACGAGUAUGUUUGGUUAUUAUAGAUAGAUGAAAGUAUUGUUUGAAAAUAGACACACUUGAAUUUAUAUUUAUACUUAAAAGGUAUCAUUGUAAACGAAGAGUAUGAUGAGGAAAUGUUUUCAGUUGUUUAUUGUGUAAUGGUUUGUGUGUCAUAUUCAAUUUAAAUAUAAAAAUUACUUUUUCCAUAUUGUUAUUAAUUACAACACCUACACAAAUUAUUAAAAUAAAAUAUGAUUUAAAGAUGUUAAUAUCUAUGGUCAUGGUCGCAUGUUAAUAUGUCAUGUCCUUGAUUUUUUAUAAAAUAGGGUUUUUAUUGGAUGGAUAUUUAUAGUUGAAAGUUAAACAGAUGGGUCGUUUUAGAAUUAAUUUGUUAUUUAUUGUAUCUCUCCUUUAAUUAAACUUCCUUGAGGGCAUUUCAAAGGCGAUCAAAAGGGAAAGUUA